UUCUAUUGCUUUCUUUUUUUAGUUGUAUCACUAGACCCAGGACUUUCAGCAGCAACAAUUCAUAUUGUUAACAUGAGAAUUGAUGGUGAUGAUCCGAUAAAUAGGAAACCAGUCAGUAAACCAGAUGAUGGAGAGUUCAUUGAAGUCUUAGUGUUACCAGUCCAUGAAAUGUGUUGCAGAUUGGAUAAAUAUGCCUCAGAUGGUUGUAUUUUGGAUGCACGAGUAUACACUUACGCAAUGCUUUUGGACCAACAGAACCACCCUGAUAAACUUAUCAAGUUAUAGUAUGUUUACAAUUCCACAGUAUUUUAAUGAUUUUUGUACAAUAAUCAUUGAGUAAAGGCUGUUUAACAGUUUUAUGUGGAAAUUCUGUCCAGUUGGAUUGUCAUAGAGACAAUUAAUUGAGCCUGGAGAAAGAAAAAAGAACACAAAAUCUAAUCUUUCCUUUAAAUAAUCUUGUCAAUGUCUUUUUUCAUCUUUUAUUAUGUUUUUUUGUAAGGCUCAGAAGUGUGAUCAGGAUUUCUUCCUUCCCAAUGCAUUAUCAGUAUUACAAUAAAGAAUUUGAAUUUAAAGAAUAUAUAUUUGGAAACAAGUAGUUAAGGUUUCAUGGUUUAGAAUAUCAAUUUGUUUUGUUUCCUUUUGUUAUAUUUUAAGUUUAAAAAGGUAAAAUUCUGUGUUAAGAAGUUAUUGAAAUUUAACUGACAUUGUUACUACCAAUUAUUAUGAUUAUAAAUGAACGUUUUAAUACUUCUGGUGCCAAAUGAAUCAGUUUAUAAAUAUAUAAUAUAUUACGUUUUCAUACUGUAAUAUCUGUCACAGAUAUUAUACUUUUAGGAUAAUUGAAACAACUCAAUAAUGAAUUUAAAAGCUUUACCUUAACUUGGAUAUAAGACUGGAAUGAUGCAUCAGUGUUUGGUGAUGGAGUAUAUAACCCUCUAUAGUUCUCUUUUUUAAGACCAGUUGCAAAGUGUAGAUACAGCAAAUACAACUCAGGAACUCACAGUAUUCAAAUUGGCUCAUUUUAUCGUAAGCCUAUAUCUACCAAUAUUUUCGGCCAUUGGCCUUUAUCAGGCUAGUAUGUUAUACACAUACGUUCCUACUUAUAUAUUCAUCCUUUCAUAUGGGCAAGUAAACACAUUACACAGAUAUAACAGUUACAUUUAAGCGAAUAGAGUUUUCCAUAAUGUGUGCUCUAUGAAGCUGGGCACGCACUGCGGGAAUGUGCCAGGGUGGUGAUGGAUGGUGACCCCGAAGAGUAUUUCCAUCUUAUUUUGCCCAUCUUUCCCAUCCAUGUCAGGUCUGUCAUAAAUAAAUAUACAUAAAAAUAAAUAAAUAAUUUAAAUAAAAUUAAUUAAUUCAAAAUAAUAAUGCAGAAAAAAGGCUACAUGUACACUCUGCAGGUAGAAAACGGCGCCGCAAGCAGCUCUACAGAGAGAUGGAUACAUGCGCCUAAUAAGAUGGCAUUAUUAAUAAGAUGGCAUCGUACGACCAUGUUUUUAUACCUCCAUGGUACAGAUCAUUAAUAAAAAAUGUGUUGUUGUGUGUCCACCUUCAGUCGACCAUCAUUAUUAUUAUCAUUAUCAUCAUCAUCAUCAUCAUCAUUAUUAUUAUUUGAUUUGUUCAGUCCACCAGGAGACCAUCCCCUCCACUUUUUUAAAAGCACCGUUAUGUAGUAUAAUCAAUGUAUCAAAAUUGGAGUAACAUGAUAAUGAUAAUUAGUAAAUAUGUAGGACAGUAUACACCAUUUGUUUAGAUGGGAAUUACUAACGUUCUGAACAGAUAAUUUUACAAUUUGUUUUUUCUGUACAGGAUAAUGUUUGUCAUUUUAAAACAUAUAUAUAAAAUCACUUUUAAAUAAAAUAAUCAUUAUUCUGAUGA
Molecule: long non-coding RNA, 1878 nt
Filed under: Anneissia japonica
Lineage: Eukaryota; Metazoa; Echinodermata; Crinoidea; Comatulida; Comatulidae
Description: uncharacterized LOC117100260
Source: RNAcentral